GCUACUGAAUCACUAAUUGAUUUUAUCAAUGUGAAGUGCUAAGGGAAAAUAAUGAUACUACCUUAGUAAAAGUGUUGUCAAAUUCUGGUGCCAGAAGACUCGGUAAUGCCAGCAACGCGAACGUUAGUCAUCAUAUUCAGGCGUAAAGGGUUUGUAGGCAGCUUUUUUCCAACAAAACUAUUAGAUAAGAUACACAGACAAAUAUUUAAUAGUUAGAGAUUAGAGCUAGAAUCAAAUAGGAGUUAAAACGUAUAAUACUUAGAGUAGAGUUUAUAUCCACAGAUCCUAAGUGGAAUACUAACGGUGUAAACAACUAACUAUAAAUGAUUGACGCUGAGACACGAAGGUGAGGACAGGAAAAAGGAUUAGAGACCCUAGUACCCCUCUCUGUAAACGAUGAAUGGUAGUUUUUAGUGUAUACUAGUUACGAUGUUAACGCGUUAACCAUUCCGCCUUGAGAGUACUACUGCAAAGUUGAAAACAAAAAAAUUAGUCGGUCUCGAAGCAAACGGAGUGAAGCAUGU
This 524-nucleotide ribosomal RNA is filed under the name Daedalea sp. YC-2018a. RNAcentral describes it as "SSU rRNA". It matches the Rfam family "Bacterial small subunit ribosomal RNA", at positions 410 to 942 of the family's 1533-position model. The record is from RNAcentral. Lineage: Eukaryota; Fungi; Basidiomycota; Agaricomycetes; Polyporales; Fomitopsidaceae.